Molecule: non-coding RNA, 72 nt
Organism: Phrynosoma platyrhinos (Desert horned lizard)
Lineage: Eukaryota; Metazoa; Chordata; Lepidosauria; Squamata; Phrynosomatidae
Source: the annotation of a GenBank genome assembly
GGUAGCAUGGCAUAGUUGUUUGAGUGUUGGAGUAUGACGUUGGAGACCAGGGUUCAAUUCCCUGUUCAGCCA